CCACCUUCAUUCUCCCAGCUUGGAGGAGAUACAGAGAAAGCACCCGAAGGCGAAAAUAAGGAGGGCUGUUGUGUUGGACAAAGCGUCGCGGACUCGUAUUCCCAGCCCCAGUGGGAGGUCCUGGAGCCGAUUGAAAAUGGGGAGCCUGAGACGAGGAAGGGCGCGGGACGAGGCCAAGGACUGGGCGGGAUAUGGCGGCUGGAAUGCCGGCUGACGUGCCAACUCCCAGCAGACACUGUAAUUCAGGAACUCUGAGGCCUUCAGGGCCCCGGGCGGCUCCGGGCAGCAGCUCAGGCCCGGAGAUCGUCGAUCGAAGACCCGGAGAUACACCAGGAAGCAGUCUAGACAGCACUUCUGCAACUGUGGACAGGCGGGCCGGGUCUGAACCGACGCCGAACCAGGGCUACCACGGGGACAAUCGCUAGUGGCGGGUUUCCUGGCCCUAGGAAAGACCCACGUGGUGCAAUCGGAAGCAGGUGAACGCCCUUGGCUGGAUUUCAUUGGGACCGGUGGCCUGGAAGAUCGAAACCUCCUUCCGGCAGAUUCUGUGGAUCAGGAAUUAAGCCACGACUUGGCUUGGCAACUGGGCAAUUCUUCUGCUCCCUGUGGCAUCAUCAGUGGUCACUCAGUGGGACUCAGCUGACCGACAGAUUAGUCCAGAGGAUCCAAGACAGCUUCACACAGACCUGAAUGACUGGCUGAGCUCAGCUAGAAGUGUCUUCAGGAGUACCUGCGCAUGGCCUUGCCAGCUGGCCAGUCUCACGGCAGGCUUACCUGGCGGCUGCUCCCUCCAGAGUGAGCGCUGCAGGAGAACCAGACAGAAGCUGGCCUUUCGUGAUACAGCCGCUGAAGCCAUGUAGCAUUACUUCCUAUAAAAUGUUGGUCGAAACAGCCACAGCAUCCCAUCUGGAGUCACAGGGAGGGGACAGAGACCCACCUUUCGAUGGAAGGAAUAACAGUGACCAUUUAAAAAAAAU
Molecule: long non-coding RNA, 977 nt
Organism: Bos taurus (domestic cattle)
Lineage: Eukaryota; Metazoa; Chordata; Mammalia; Artiodactyla; Bovidae
Source: Ensembl